This 561-nucleotide ribosomal RNA is filed under the name uncultured bacterium. RNAcentral describes it as "bacterial SSU rRNA". It matches the Rfam family "Bacterial small subunit ribosomal RNA", at positions 338 to 916 of the family's 1533-position model. The record is from RNAcentral.
CCUACGGGAGGCAGCAGUGGGGAAUAUUGGACAAUGGACGAAAGUCUGAUCCAGCAAUGCCGCGUGAGUGAUGAAGGCCUUAGGGUUGUAAAGCUCUUUUACCAGGGAUGAUAAUGACAGUACCUGGAGAAUAAGUUCCGGCUAACUCCGUGCCAGCAGCCGCGGUAAUACGGAGGGAGCUAGCGUUGUUCGGAAUUACUGGGCGUAAAGCGCACGUAGGCGGUUAUUCAAGUCAGAGGUGAAAGCCCGGGGCUCAACCCCGGAACUGCCUUUGAAACUAGAUAGCUAGAAUCCUGGAGAGGUGAGUGGAAUUCCGAGUGUAGAGGUGAAAUUCGUAGAUAUUCGGAAGAACACCAGUGGCGAAGGCGGCUCACUGGACAGGUAUUGACGCUGAGGUGCGGAAGCGUGGGGAGCAAACAGGAUUAGAUACCCUGGUAGUCCACGCCGUAAACGAUGAUAACUAGCUGUCCGGGCACAUGGUGCUUGGGUGGCGCAGCUAACGCAUUAAGUUAUCCGCCUGGGGAGUACGGUCGCAAGAUUAAAACUCAAAUGAAUUGACGG